RNAcentral lists this ribosomal RNA (253 nucleotides) under uncultured bacterium. Its description in RNAcentral is "partial 16S ribosomal RNA". It matches the Rfam family "Bacterial small subunit ribosomal RNA", at positions 524 to 776 of the family's 1533-position model. The record is from RNAcentral.
UACGAAGGGGGCUAGCGUUGCUCGGAAUCACUGGGCGUAAAGGGCUCGUAGGCGGCCAACUAAGUCAGACGUGAAAUCCCUCGGCUUAACCGGGGAACUGCGUCUGAUACUGGAUGGCUUGAGUUUGGGAGAGGGAUGCGGAAUUCCAGGUGUAGCGGUGAAAUGCGUAGAUAUCUGGAGGAACACCGGUGGCGAAGGCGGCAUCCUGGACCAACACUGACGCUGAGGAGCGAAAGCCAGGGGAGCAAACGGG